GCCCGGGCUCUGGCACGUUCGUUCGCGGAGCGAGGAACAAAGCGUCCUCCGCAUUCCUGCGCGCUGACUCACUGCCGUCACGUAGCGCGCCGCCACCGCCGCGCAGCUUUGCCCAAAAUUGGUCGCGAGGCGAGGGCGGGUCCGCCACCCGCUCGGUGCUGGCCUCGCCGCCUUGCGAUUGGCCCCUGGCCCCAGGUCUCCCAAAACGAUGUGAAAACGAGAGAGAAUGGGCCGCGUCAGGAAAAUCCAAACUGGACUUGAGAAUUCAGGCCUAAAACUCCAGUUGACCUGGGUUCAGAUCCCUUGCUAGAUGGAUGACCUUAGACAAGACACCAGAUUCCUGAUGAAGAAUAAGAGCAAGGAAAUGAACUGCAUCCCACGUGGAUCAUGUAUGCUGGGAUGGUGGCUAAGGAUGCAAGCCACGAUGCAGCCAUGACACAGGCAGACCUAGAUUCAAGGAACAAGCCACUUCACCCCUCUAAGCCUUCUCUUCUAUGUUGUGGGAAUAACAAGGACUCUGCUAUGGUGAUUCAAUGUGA
Molecule: non-coding RNA, 539 nt
Organism: Ictidomys tridecemlineatus (thirteen-lined ground squirrel)
Lineage: Eukaryota; Metazoa; Chordata; Mammalia; Rodentia; Sciuridae
Source: RefSeq, a predicted model, not a curated record